UGGGGAAUAUUGCACAAUGGAGGGAACUCUGAUGCAGCGACGCCGCGUGAACGAAGAAGGCUUUCGAGUCGUAAAGUUCUUUUAUAUGAGAAGAUAAUGACGGUACCAUAAGAAAAAGCCCCGGCUAACUACGUGCCAGCAGCCGCGGUAAUACGUAGGGGGCUAGCGUUGUCCGGAAUCACUGGGCGUAAAGGGUUCGCAGGCGGAAAUGCAAGUCAGGUGUAAAAGGCAGUAGCUUAACUACUGUAAGCAUUUGAAACUGCAUAUCUUGAGAAGAGUAGAGGUAAGUGGAAUUUUUAGUGUAGCGGUGAAAUGCGUAGAUAUUAAAAAGAAUACCGGUGGCGAAGGCGACUUACUGGGCUCAUUCUGACGCUGAGGAACGAAAGCGUGGGUAGCAAACAGG
This 403-nucleotide ribosomal RNA is filed under the name bacterium. RNAcentral describes it as "partial 16S ribosomal RNA". It matches the Rfam family "Bacterial small subunit ribosomal RNA", at positions 355 to 776 of the family's 1533-position model. The record is from RNAcentral. RNAcentral also lists the same sequence under 1 other name.